RNAcentral lists this ribosomal RNA (449 nucleotides) under uncultured bacterium. RNAcentral describes it as "partial 16S ribosomal RNA". It matches the Rfam family "Bacterial small subunit ribosomal RNA", at positions 29 to 523 of the family's 1533-position model. The record is from RNAcentral.
AGCGAACGCUGGCGGCAGGCCUAACACAUGCAAGUCGAACGAAGUCUUCGGACUUAGUGGCGGACGGGUGAGUAACACGUGGGAACGUGCCUUUAGGUUCGGAGUAACUCAGGGAAACUUGUGCUAAUACCGAAUGUGCCCUUCGGGGGAAAGAUUUAUCGCCUUUAGAGCGGCCCGCGUCUGAUUAGCUAGUUGGUGAGGUAAAGGCUCACCAAGGCGACGAUCAGUAGCUGGUCUGAGAGGAUGAUCAGCCACAUUGGGACUGAGACACGGCCCAAACUCCUACGGGAGGCAGCAGUGGGGAAUCUUGCGCAAUGGGCGAAAGCCUGACGCAGCCAUGCCGCGUGAAUGAUGAAGGUCUUAGGAUUGUAAAAUUCUUUCACCGGGGACGAUAAUGACGGUACCCGGAGAAGAAGCCCCGGCUAACUACGUGCCAGCAGCCGCCGUAA